GUGCUGCUCAUGUGCUUUUUUGGUGCGGACCUGGUACCUCUUUCAUGAAGCAGCAGCUGAGGAGACUCCGGCGCUCGCCAUGGCCGACGAAAAGCCCAAGGAAGGAGUCAAGACUGAGAACAACGAUCAUAUUAAUUUGAAGGUGGCGGGGCAGGAUGGUUCUGUGGUGCAGUUUAAGAUUAAGAGGCAUACACCACUUAAUAAACUAAUGAAAGCCUAUUGUGAACGACAGGGAUUGUCAAUGAAGCAGAUCAGAUUCCGAUUCGACGGGCAACCAAUCAAUGAAACAGACACACCUGCACAGUUGGAAAUGGAGGAUGGAGAUACAAUUGAUGUGUUCCAACAGCAGACGGGAGGUGUCUACUGAAAAGGGAACCUGCUUCUUUACUCCAGAACUCUGUUCUUUAAAGACCAAGAUUACAUUCGCAAUUAGAAAACUGCAAUUUGGUUCCACCACAUCCUGACUACUAUCAUAUAGUUUUCUCCCUUCUUUCAUUUCCCCCUUCCCCAU
Molecule: RNA transcript, 511 nt
Organism: Nomascus leucogenys (northern white-cheeked gibbon)
Lineage: Eukaryota; Metazoa; Chordata; Mammalia; Primates; Hylobatidae
Gene name: small ubiquitin-related modifier 2 pseudogene
Exons: 1
Source: RefSeq, a predicted model, not a curated record